UAGGGCUAAGUCGUAACAAGGUAGCCGUACCGGAAGGUGCGGCUGGAACACCUCCUUUCUAGAG
RNAcentral lists this ribosomal RNA (64 nucleotides) under Gelidibacter salicanalis. RNAcentral's name for it is "partial 16S ribosomal RNA". It matches the Rfam family "Bacterial small subunit ribosomal RNA", at positions 1476 to 1533 of the family's 1533-position model. The record is from RNAcentral. Lineage: Bacteria; Pseudomonadati; Bacteroidota; Flavobacteriia; Flavobacteriales; Flavobacteriaceae.